RNAcentral lists this ribosomal RNA (447 nucleotides) under uncultured bacterium. Its description in RNAcentral is "bacterial SSU rRNA". It matches the Rfam family "Bacterial small subunit ribosomal RNA", at positions 329 to 793 of the family's 1533-position model. The record is from RNAcentral.
UUCCAGACUCCUACGGGAGGCAGCAGUGGGGAAUAUUGCACAAUGGGGGAAACCCUGAUGCAGCGACGCCGCGUGAGCGAUGAAGUAUUUCGGUAUGUAAAGCUCUAUCAGCAGGGAAGAAGAUGACGGUACCUGACUAAGAGGCCCCGGCUAACUACGUGCCAGCAGCCGCGGUAAUACGUAGGGGGCAAGCGUUAUCCGGAUUUACUGGGUGUAAAGGGAGCGUAGACGGCGAUGCAAGCCAGAUGCGAAAGCCCGGGGCUCAACCCCGGGACUGCAUUUGGAACUGUGUGGCUGGAGUGUCGGAGAGGCAGGCGGAAUUCCUAGUGUAGCGGUGAAAUGCGUAGAUAUUAGGAGGAACACCAGUGGCGAAGGCGGCCUGCUGGACGAUGACUGACGUUGAGGCUCGAAAGCGUGGGGAGCAAACAGGAUUAGAUACCCCUGUAU